CCUACGGGGGGCGGCAGUGGGGAAUAUGCGCAAUGGGCGAAAGCCUGACGCAGCGACGCCUCGUGAGGGAUGAAGGUCUUCGGAUCGUAAACCUCUGUCAAGAGGGAAGAAACCCUUGGGUUCGAAUAGGGCCCUUGGCUGACGGUACCUCAAGGAAGCACCGGCUAACUCCGUGCCAGCAGCCGCGGUAAUACGGAGGGUGCAAGCGUUAAUCGGAAUCACUGGGCGUAAAGCGCUCGUAGGCUGUUUGGUAAGUCAGACGUGAAAGCCCUCGGCUCAACCGGGGAACUGCGUUGAUACUGCCAGACUUGAGUGUCGGAGAGGUGGCGGAAUUCCGGGUGUAGAGUGAAAUCCGUAGAUAUCCGGAGGAACACCGUGGCGAAGGCGGCCACCUGGACGACAACUGACGCUGAGGAGCGAAAGCGUGGGGAGCAAACAGAUUAGAUACCCUGGUAGUCCACGCGGUAAACGAUGGAUGCUGGGUGUGGUUUACCUUCG
This 498-nucleotide ribosomal RNA is filed under the name uncultured delta proteobacterium. RNAcentral's name for it is "bacterial SSU rRNA". It matches the Rfam family "Bacterial small subunit ribosomal RNA", at positions 338 to 835 of the family's 1533-position model. Lineage: Bacteria; Deltaproteobacteria. The record is from RNAcentral.